CUUGAACAGAAAAGCGAAGGUUUUAUCCGCAAUGGAGCCGGACAACUCCCCCCCCCCGCACCCCGGCUUCGCACGGACAGAGCCGGGGGGGGCGUCACCUUCCCCCAGCCCUCGUUUAUGAAACUUCUUCCUGCUCCAGAAGAAAAGCAACUUCACAAAGAGGAAAACCUUGACCGAACUUAAGAGAAAAGAGCCUUUGGCAACGCAGCCGUGUCCUCUCCGCAGCCGCCUUCGUGCUGCCUUCGGUUCAACCUCUACCCUGAAAGCCCAGCGUAGACCUUCCACGGAAAAGCAGCCAGCCCCAUGGGCUUCAGGGACGUAGCUUAACCUACCACAGCUCAACUCAAAUUCCGCGUGCACGUCAUACUUCCUCAUCUCUUAUUUUGCACCCACCAUUUUCUUCGUUGCUUAUACUUCAUUCAUCAAGGCCUCCUUUCAUUCUGAGAAACCUUAAAAUUACUUCUACUCUC
This 470-nucleotide long non-coding RNA is filed under the name Aquila chrysaetos chrysaetos. RNAcentral's name for it is "lncRNA (ENSACCG00020015429.1)". Lineage: Eukaryota; Metazoa; Chordata; Aves; Accipitriformes; Accipitridae. The record is from RNAcentral.